AAUCCUAACGUAUUUAAAUCAUUAUAAAUUACGAUAACGCAUUUGAUUAUAACUUGAACUAAAAUAAUAUUACUUAUGUGGAUAAGUAGAUAUAGUCAUUUAUAGAUAUGAUACAUUUUAAUGCAGGUAUAAAAUAUAGACCACAUAGAUUUUUGUUUCCAGACAUGUUUUUGCGGUAGUUUACUGGGAUAAUAGUUGAUAACGGUAAAAUGAUUUUAGCACUAUGAUUAUGUCAGUCGUGUUAUAAUAUAAACUAAUAUGAUAAUAUAGUGUUGAGAAUUUCCAUAUGAAUAGAAAUCACGAAAAUCCUAGAACAGCACAUUAUUCCGCCAUUGUGCACCAGGUAUAUAGAAAGUUUGGGAACGCUAAAUUCGUUAUGAAAAUUAUUAUUAAUAUGUGAUAGUAUACAAUGAGA
Molecule: non-coding RNA, 415 nt
Organism: Cinara cedri
Lineage: Eukaryota; Metazoa; Arthropoda; Insecta; Hemiptera; Aphididae
Source: the annotation of a GenBank genome assembly